RNAcentral lists this ribosomal RNA (221 nucleotides) under uncultured bacterium. Its description in RNAcentral is "partial 16S ribosomal RNA". It matches the Rfam family "Bacterial small subunit ribosomal RNA", at positions 113 to 334 of the family's 1533-position model. The record is from RNAcentral.
UAGCAUCGGAACGUAUCCCGUAGUGGGGGACGAACCCAGCGAAAGCUGGGCUAAUACCGCAUAUGCUCUACGGAGGAAAGCGGGGGACUCGCAAGAGCCUCGUGCUAUGGGAGCGGCCGAUGUCCGAUUAGCUAGUUGGUGGGGUAAAGGCUUACCAAGGCGACGAUCGGUAGCUGGUCUGAGAGGAUGAUCAGCCACACUGGGACUGAGACACGGCCCAG